Molecule: ribosomal RNA, 605 nt
Filed under: Agrilus pekinensis
Lineage: Eukaryota; Metazoa; Arthropoda; Insecta; Coleoptera; Buprestidae
Description: partial 16S ribosomal RNA
Rfam family: Bacterial large subunit ribosomal RNA (bases 365-523)
Source: RNAcentral
UUAAGGUCUAAUCUGCCCGAUGAUAAAUUGAAUGGCCGCGAUAUUUUGAUCGUGCGAAGGUAGCAUAAUCAUUAGCUUUUUAAUUGAAAGCUGGAAUGAACGAUUGGACAAAAAGCUUACUGUCUCUAUUUUAUUAUUUGAAUUUUAUUUUUUAGUUAAAAAGCUUAAAUUUUUUUGUAAGACGAGAAGACCCUAUAGAGUUUUUGAUAUUUUAGUAUUUUGAAUUGAUUUAAGAAUUAAAUCUUUGGAAUUUAUAAGUAUUUAGUUGGGGUGACGGAAAAAUUUAAUAAACUUUUUCUUUUUGUAAUAUUAAUUUAUAGAUUUUUGAUUUAUUUUUUUAGUUAUAAGAUAAAAUUACCUUAGGGAUAACAGCGUUAUUUUCUUUAAGAGCUCAUAUCGAAAGGAAAGAUUGCGACCUCGAUGUUGGAUUAAAGUUUAAGUUUGGUGUAGAAGCUAAAUAUUUUAGUCUGUUCGACUAUUAAAACUUUACAUGAUCUGAGUUUAAACCGGCGUGAGCCAGGUUGGUUUCUAUCUUUAAUGUAUUUAUAUAUUUUAGUACGAAAGGACCAAAUAUUAUUUAAAUUAAUUUAAUUUUGACUUAUAUU